CCUACGGGAGGCAGCAGUGGGGAAUCUUCCGCAAUGGGCGAAAGCCUGACGGAGCAACGCCGCGUGGGGGACGAAGGCCUUCGGGUCGUAAACCCCUGUCAGAGGGAAAGAAGGGCGUCGGCGUGAACAGCGCCGGCGCUUGACGGUACUCUCAGAGGAAGCCACGGCCAACUCCGUGCCAGCAGCCGCGGUAAUACGGAGGUGGCAAGCGUUGUUCGGAAUUACUGGGCGUAAAGGGCGCGUAGGCGGGGAGGUAAGUCGGGUGUGAAAUCCUCGGCCCAACCGAGGAACUGCGCCCGAGACUGCUUCUCUUGAGUCCCGGAGAGGAAGGUGGAAUUCCCGGUGUAGCGGUGAAAUGUGUAGAGAUCGGGAGGAACACCGGUGGCGAAGGCGGCCUUCUGGACGGUGACUGACGCUGAGGCGCGAAAGCGUGGGGAGCAAACGGGAUUAGAUACCCCGGUAGUCCACGCGGUAAACGAUGGGUGCUAGGUGUGGGGGGUAUCGACCCCUCCCGUGCCGAAGCUAACGCAUUAAGCACCCCGCCAGGGGAGUACGGCCGCAAGGUUGAAACUCAAAGGAAUUGACGG
RNAcentral lists this ribosomal RNA (587 nucleotides) under uncultured bacterium. RNAcentral describes it as "bacterial SSU rRNA". It matches the Rfam family "Bacterial small subunit ribosomal RNA", at positions 338 to 916 of the family's 1533-position model. The record is from RNAcentral.